UGGGGAAUUUUGGACAAUGGGCGAAAGCCUGAUCCAGCAAUGCCGCGUGUGUGAAGAAGGCCUUCGGGUUGUAAAGCACUUUUGUCCGGAAAGAAAUCCUUGGCUCUAAUACAGUCGGGGGAUGACGGUACCGGAAGAAUAAGCACCGGCUAACUACGUGCCAGCAGCCGCGGUAAUACGUAGGGUGCAAGCGUUAAUCGGAAUUACUGGGCGUAAAGCGUGCGCAGGCGGUUUGCUAAGACCGAUGUGAAAUCCCCGGGCUCAACCUGGGAACUGCAUUGGUGACUGGCAGGCUAGAGUAUGGCAGAGGGGGGUAGAAUUCCACGUGUAGCAGUGAAAAUGCGUAGAGAUGUGGAGGAAUACCGCUGGCGAAAGGCAGCCCCCUGGGCCAAUACUGACGCUCAUGCACGAAAAGCGUGGGGAGCAAAACAGGAUUAGAUACCCUGGUAGUCCACGCCCUAAAACGAUGUCAACUAGUUGUUGGGGAUUCAUUUCCUUAGUAACGUAGCUAACGCGUGAAGUUGACCGCCUGGGGAGUAACGGUCGCAAGAUUAAAAACUCAAAUGAAUUGACGGGGUCAUAGCUGUUUCCU
This 592-nucleotide ribosomal RNA is filed under the name uncultured bacterium. Its description in RNAcentral is "partial 16S ribosomal RNA". It matches the Rfam family "Bacterial small subunit ribosomal RNA", at positions 355 to 1375 of the family's 1533-position model. The record is from RNAcentral.